CCCCCCCGAAACUUUAGCUUUUUCGCACCACCCCAAACAAUCCAUCCUCAGCCUAGAGAAGAAGCCAUGACUCUGAAAGCAAACGGCCCUCCUCAUCUUUUCAACUCCACAACCUUUGAACACCCAUAAACAAACCGUCCGUUCCUGCUUCUUCAUCGGAUAGCCUUCUAAGAACAGGGCUGCUGAUCCCAUCUCUACGACAAAAAUCAGUGAAAAACAGACCCUACUUAUACACACAACAGCCGCUGGAAUUCAGGACCCCUCCCCCCGUUCAUCUUCCUCAACCAGCGAUAACUCCAAAAAUCAGACCCCCCAAAUAUCUGUUACCCCUUCUUCUUCACAAAAUUGAACACCCAAAACACCUCCUCCAUCGAAGCCACACACAUACUCAUAAAGGUGGAGAGGCAGAAAGAUUUUGAGUCGUCGAUUCCGGUUUGAAGUGUCGUUGGCAGCGAGGUUCUUAAUUUGAGUUCGUUGAAGGUUCUCGACAAGGAUUUUGUUUCGUGUCAAGUUCUCUUUUUGCUUUCGGACCAUCGCCUGAUUUCCUGUACUCAUGAGAAAUAUUCAUUACUGAAGGUGCAUCUCCUCUCUAUAUAGAAUGAUUUAACAAUAUCUUGGCUUUGUUUUUGUUUCUUUGGUUGAAUAUUUAUUUGGUUCUGAUUGUUUGUUCCUAUGUUCAACAAGUAUGCUAGUUUGAAUGAGAUUCUGUGGUUUGAGUGUUAUCAGUGAUUCUAAUUCAUUAUCUUCCAUUAUUGAGCUUAUAAUUGUAUAGUGUUGUUCCAAACAUGGACUUUAAAGUUAAAAGGUAUGCAUUCACUUCAAAAUCAGCUUCUGUAUUUCCGUACGCCUAUGAUUCAAUAUAUAUUUUCAUAGUCUUCUUGAGUAAACAGUUUAUGUGGAUUUUCAAGUGGUUACAUUCACAAUUCUUAAUUUAAUUAGCACUUUCAUGUCUUUGGUUUGUUUGGAUGACAAGAAUGGCUUAUUCUGCUGAAAAUAAAUUAUAUUUUUGUUCUACUAGAACUAUAUUGGGUUGGCUCAACGAGAGUUAAGAUAAAACUCUUAAAAAUUGAAAUUGGAUCGCAACUGUUUGCGUGUUUCUUUGGCUGUAUUGGGUCGCGAUGUGAUAUUAGAUGUGAAAAUCAGACCGUAAAUAUUUAAUUGUUUUGCUUUCAUCAUUUUUUUUAAACGUUAGGAGCAUAUUUAGGCCAAUCACCCAGGUGGAUGAACCUUUAGGCACAUUUUGAAUUUAUUAUUGUGAUUAUGUACCCGUUCGCGUGACAUAGCCACGGUUUCAAAAAUCAAAAUCGAGGUAUGUGUUCGUGCAACUUCGACCGAACUUUCUUAAUAAUAAUAAAGCGUGAUUAAUUGUGGACACGUACGCGUGACAUGAUUCUUGACAUGCCAAAUAAAAUGAUCGUUUUUAAGAUAAUCCCAUAAUUAAGAGUAAUUAAGCAAAUAUAAGCAUUUUAAAAAGGUAAAUGCACAUAGGUUCUAAAAAUAAGUAAUUAGACAACUUAAGCCAAGUAUAAAUUGCUAAGCGACCGUACUAGAACCACGGAACCCGAAAAUGCCUAAUACUUUCUCCCGGAUUAACAGAAUUCCUUAUCUAGAAUUUCUGGUUCACAGACUUUUAAAUAAAGUCGAAAAAUUUUCUCGAUUUGGAAUUUAAAAAUAAACCGGUGACUUGGGACAUCAAAAAUAAAUUAUUCCAAGUGGUGACUUUGAGAAAAUUAAAUAAAAUAACCUCAUUUCAAAUAAUGUCACUUUAAUUGGAAAAACUCCCUUAUACUCCCCUCGGGUGUUAAAAAAGGAGGUGUGACAACUCUAGCGACUCUACUGGGGAUAAGAACCUAGAAUCUCUGGUUUAGGGUUCAAGAAUUCGAGAUUUUUAAUGUGAUUUUUUAUUUGGCUUUAUUUAUUGUUGAUUACUGUAUUUUGUGGACCUAGUGUGCUAAUUCCUGUUUAUUUACCGCUUUGAUAUUACCUGAACUUUAUUAAACUGUCUCCCUACGCCUCCCUUCUGAGUAUUCUAUAAAAUGGUGCACACGUUCGCGUGACUCACUUUUUUUGUUAGAAGUUAUACCAAAUAGAACGAGGAUCGGCCAGCAACAAGGCCGAGUAGACUUUCGUGCUCCCGAUACGUUGCCCCCUCUUCGGCUCGAGUUGUUCGCUCGAGUAAGCCAGGUCUAGAACACAACCCCAUGUUUAAACUUAGUAUAAUGCAACCUCAUGCUGGAUCCUUAGUAGGAACGUUUGUUUGCAUCACGUGCAUUUGACCUUGGGGACUCAACACAGGGGUUGGGUCCGUCUAGGAUAGGUGUACCCAAAAUAACAGACCAUCCUAAUGCAUCCUAUUGUUUUUGAGAGCGCGAAGCGCAAAAAAGCGACAAAGGCUCGCCUCGCUUCAAAAGCGAAGCGCACGCUUUAUUAAAGUGAAGCGCAAUUCUUAAAAAACAUAAUGUAAAAUUAUAAAUAAUCAAAAACUUCAAUUUAAAUACUUAAAAGUAGGUACUAGGUACCACCAAAUCAUCCACAAACCAUCCACAAACCAUAUGACAAGUAAAAUUAAAGCUACUAAAUUACUAGAAUCAACAUCUUAUUCUUCUACUCUUCUUCUUCUUCAAGUUGUCAAAAUCUUGAAUUCCUCUAUUAUCUUCAUAUUGCUCGUCAUCUUCUUCUUCCCCCUCCUCUUCAUGAUCACUUUCAUCUUCAUUAAUUAGGGAUAGGGAUCGACUUGUAGUAGCCACACAUUUUCCCUUCCUAAUAGAGCUUGAACUUGGAGCAAAAGAAGCAGAAGAAGAAGCAGCAGAAGCAGAAGAAAAAUAAGA
This 2828-nucleotide long non-coding RNA is filed under the name Nicotiana tabacum (common tobacco). RNAcentral describes it as "long non-coding RNA (NTAB_LNC001811)". Lineage: Eukaryota; Viridiplantae; Streptophyta; Magnoliopsida; Solanales; Solanaceae. The record is from RNAcentral.